This 274-nucleotide ribosomal RNA is filed under the name uncultured bacterium. Its description in RNAcentral is "partial 16S ribosomal RNA". It matches the Rfam family "Bacterial small subunit ribosomal RNA", at positions 523 to 796 of the family's 1533-position model. The record is from RNAcentral.
AUACGGAGGGUCCAAGCGUUAUCCGGAUUCAUAGGGUUUAAAGGGUCCGCAGGCGGGAAAAUAAGUCAGUGGUGAAAGCCUACAGCUCAACUGUAGAACUGCCAUUGAUACUGUUUUUCUUGAGUAUAGAUGAAGUGGGCGGAAUAUAUCAUGUAGCGGUGAAAUGCAUAGAUAUGAUAUAGAACACCGAUUGCGAAGGCAGCUCACUAAACUAUUACUGACGCUCAGGGACGAAAGCGUGGGGAGCGAACAGGAUUAGAAACCCUAGUAGUCC